Molecule: ribosomal RNA, 477 nt
Filed under: uncultured bacterium
Lineage: Bacteria
Description: partial 16S ribosomal RNA
Rfam family: Bacterial small subunit ribosomal RNA
Source: RNAcentral
GAUUAACGCUGGCGGCGUGCAUAACACAUGCAAGUCGAACGAUGAAACUUAACUGAUUUCUUCGGAAUGAUUUAAAGUGGAUUAGUGGCGGACGGGUGAGUAACGCGUGAGUAACCUGCCUUGGAGAAGGGGAUAGCCUUUGGAAACGAAGAAUAAUACCCUAUGAUAUGAUAAUAUCUCAUGAUAUUAUCAUCAAAGAUUUAUCGCUCUAAGAUGGACUUGCGUCUGAUUAGUUAGUUGGUGAGGUAACAGCUCACCAAGGCAGCGAUCAGUAGCCGGCUUGAGAGAGUGUACGGCCACAUUGGGACUGAGACACGGCCCAGACUCCUACGGGAGGCAGCAGUGGGGAAUUUUGCACAAUGGGGGAAACCCUGAUGCAGCGACGCCGCGUGAUUUAGAAGGCCUUCGGGUUGUAAAAAUCUUUUGUAUGGGAAGAAAAUGACAGUACCAUACGAAUAAGGACCGGCUAAUUACGUG